GUACUCGCUUCGGCGGUACAUAUACUAAAAUUGGAACGAUACAGAGAAGAUUAGCAUGGCCCCUGCGCAAGUAUAACAAAAAAAAGGGUAGCGUCUUUGACUCAU
Small nuclear RNA from Schistocerca americana (American grasshopper), 105 nucleotides. The record is from RefSeq and is a predicted model, not a curated record. Lineage: Eukaryota; Metazoa; Arthropoda; Insecta; Orthoptera; Acrididae.